GAUGAACGCUGGCGGCGUGCCUAAUACAUGCAAGUCGAGCGAACGGACGCGAAGCUUGCUUCUCUGAUGUUAGCGGCGGACGGGAGAGUAACACGUGUAUAACCUACCUAUAAGACUGGGAUAACUUCGGGAACCCGGAGCUAAUACCGGAUAAUAUUUUGAACCGCAUGGUUCAAAAGAGAAAGACGGUCUUGCUGUCACUUAUAGAUGGAUCCGCGCUGCAUUAGCUAGUUGGUAAGGUAACGGCUUACCAAGGCAACGAUGCAUAGCCGACCUGAGAGGGUGAUCGGCCACACUGGAACUGAGACACGGUCCAGACUCCUACGGGAGGCAGCAGUAGGGAAUCUUCCGCAAUGGGCGAAAGCCUGACGGAGCAACGCCGCGUGAGUGAUGAAGGUCUUCGGAUCGUAAAACUCUGUUAUUAGGGAAGAACAUAUGUGUAAGUAACUGUGCACAUCUUGACGGUACCUAAUCAGAAAGCCACGGCUAACUACGUG
Molecule: ribosomal RNA, 497 nt
Filed under: uncultured bacterium
Lineage: Bacteria
Description: partial 16S ribosomal RNA
Rfam family: Bacterial small subunit ribosomal RNA
Source: RNAcentral